Molecule: ribosomal RNA, 460 nt
Filed under: uncultured bacterium
Lineage: Bacteria
Description: partial 16S ribosomal RNA
Rfam family: Bacterial small subunit ribosomal RNA
Source: RNAcentral
CCUACGGGAGGCAGCAGUGAGGAAUAUUGGUCAAUGGACGAGAGUCUGAACCAGCCAAGUAGCGUGAAGGAUGACUGCCCUAUGGGUUGUAAACUUCUUUUAUAUGGGAAUAAAAUGUUCCACGUGUGGGAUUUUGUAUGUACCAUAUGAAUAAGGAUCGGCUAAGUCCGUGCCAGCAGCCGCGGUAAUACGGAGGAGCCGGGCGUUAUCGGGAUUUAGUGGGGUUAAAGGGGGCGGAGGUGGGGGGGUAAGUCAGUUGUGAAAGUUUGAGGCUCAACCGGAAAAUUGCAGUUGAAACUGGCAGUCUUGAGUAUAGUAGAGGUGGGUGGAAUUCGUGGUGUAGCGGUGAAAUGCGUAGAGAGCACGAAGAAUUCCGAUGGCGAAGGCAGCUCACUGGACUGCAACUGACACUGAGGCUCGAAAGUGUGGGUAUCAAACAGGAUUAGAUACCCGGGUAGUC